RNAcentral lists this ribosomal RNA (253 nucleotides) under uncultured bacterium. Its description in RNAcentral is "partial 16S ribosomal RNA". It matches the Rfam family "Bacterial small subunit ribosomal RNA", at positions 524 to 776 of the family's 1533-position model. The record is from RNAcentral.
UACAGAGGGUGCAAGCGUUGUUCGGAAUUAUUGGGCGUAAAGGGCGCGUAGGCGGUUUUGUAAGUCGGAUGUGAAAGCCCAGGGCUCAACCUUGGAAGUGCAUUCGAGACUGCAAGACUUGAGUGUCGAAGAGGGUGGUGGAAUUCCCAGUGUAGAGGUGAAAUUCGUAGAUAUUGGGAGGAACACCGGUGGCGAAGGCGACCACCUGGUCGACAACUGACGCUGAGGCGCGAAAGCGUGGGGAUCAAACAGG